This is a long non-coding RNA of Oryza brachyantha (malo sina), 422 nucleotides long. RefSeq lists it as uncharacterized. The record is from RefSeq and is a predicted model, not a curated record. The transcript is spliced from 3 exons. Lineage: Eukaryota; Viridiplantae; Streptophyta; Magnoliopsida; Poales; Poaceae.
GAAAAUCUUGGGGGAAGGCAUCCGGCAUCGGGGGAGGUCGGCCAUCUAUGGUGAGCGGGAGGUGGAGGCGCCCAACCUUGGAUGAACUUGGCAAUUAACACCAUGCUGCAUCGCUUCAAUCUCUAGUGGAGAGAUUGUGGACUUCUGAUAGACUUCAAGUCAAGCGACAUUUGAGAAAGAAGCGGCGCACAAUUCCAACAAACAACAAUGCACUAAUGCUGGACUGGUGGACCGGCCUAACAUCAUCUCGCCGGUGAAAGAGGAAAGGCCAGGAUUUAAUGUGUUCGAAUUGUUUUUUUUUUUUGAGAGAGAGAGAUUUAGAGAACAGAGAAACAGUCAGAUUGUUCGACAUGAGGAGGGCAACAAACUCCGAAUUGUUCAACAAAUAUGGUUGAUGAAAUCUAGUUUCUGACCAUGUACAG